GAACGAACGCUGGCGGCAUGGAUUAGGCAUGCAAGUUGAACGAACUCCUUCGGGAGUGAGUAGCGGAAGGGUGAGGAACGCGUGAGUAAUCUGCCCCCCAGUUGGGAAUAACAGUUGGAAACGACUGCUAAUACCGAAUGUGGCUUAAGCUUCGCCUGGAGCUUUGGCUAAAGAUUUAUCGCUGGGGGAUGAGCUCGCGUCCCAUUAGGUAGUUGGUGAGGUAACGGCUCACCAAGCCGACGAUGGGUAGCUGGUCUGAGAGGAUGGUCAGCCACACUGGGACUGAGACACUGCCCAGACUCCUACGGGAGGCUGCAGUCGAGAAUCUUGGGCAAUGCGCGAAAGCGUGACCCAGCAAUGCCGCGUGUAUGAUGAAGGCCCUCGGGUCGUAAAGUACUGUCUCCCGUGACGAAAUUUGACGGUAGCGGGGAAGGAAGCCACGGCUAACUACGUGCCAGCCGCCGC
Molecule: ribosomal RNA, 465 nt
Filed under: uncultured bacterium
Lineage: Bacteria
Description: bacterial SSU rRNA
Rfam family: Bacterial small subunit ribosomal RNA
Source: RNAcentral